AUUGAACGCUGGCGGCAGGCCUAACACAUGCAAGUCGAGCGAGCGGCGGACGGGUGAGUAAUGUAUGGGGAUCUGCCCGAUAGAGGGGGAUAACUACUGGAAACGGUAGCUAAUACCGCAUACCAUCGGAUGUACCCAGAUGGGAUUAGCUAGUAGGUGCGGUAACGGCUCACCAAGGCGACGAUCCCUAGCUGGUCUGAGAGGAUGACCAGCAAAACUGGAACGGAGACACGGCCCAGAUUCCUACGGGAGGCAGCAGUGGGGAAUAUUGCACAAUGGGCGCAAGCCUGAUGCAGCCAUGCGGCGUGUAUGAAGAAGGCCCUCGGGUUGUAAAGUACUUUCAGCCGGGAGGCGUUACCGGCAGAAGAAGCACCGGCUAACUCCGUGCCAGCAGCCGCGGUAAUUC
Molecule: ribosomal RNA, 406 nt
Filed under: uncultured bacterium
Lineage: Bacteria
Description: partial 16S ribosomal RNA
Rfam family: Bacterial small subunit ribosomal RNA
Source: RNAcentral